GGUUGUGGCUCAGUGGUAGAGUGCUUGCCUAGCAUGUGUGGGGCCAUGAGUUCGAUCCUCAGCACCA
RNAcentral lists this transfer RNA (67 nucleotides) under Marmota monax (woodchuck). RNAcentral's name for it is "tRNA.Ala". Lineage: Eukaryota; Metazoa; Chordata; Mammalia; Rodentia; Sciuridae. The record is from RNAcentral.